This 447-nucleotide ribosomal RNA is filed under the name uncultured bacterium. Its description in RNAcentral is "partial 16S ribosomal RNA". It matches the Rfam family "Bacterial small subunit ribosomal RNA", at positions 328 to 792 of the family's 1533-position model. The record is from RNAcentral.
GGCCCAGACUCCUACGGGAGGCAGCAGUGGGGAAUAUUGCACAAUGGGGGGAACCCUGAUGCAGCGACGCCGCGUGAGUGAAGAAGUAUUUCGGUAUGUAAAGCUCUAUCAGCAGGGACGAAGAUGACGGUACCUGCAGAAGAAGCCCCGGCUAACUACGUGCCAGCAGCCGCGGUAAUACGUAGGGGGCAAGCGUUAUCCGGAUUUACUGGGUGUAAAGGGAGCGUAGACGGCAGGGCAAGCCAGAAGUGAAAGCCCGGGGCCCAACCCCGGGACUGCUCUUGGAACUGCGCGGCUGGAGUGCAGGAGGGGCAGGCGGAAUUCCUGGUGUAGCGGUGAAAUGCGUAGAUAUCAGGAGGAACACCGGUGGCGAAGGCGGCCUGCUGGACUGCGACUGACGUUGAGGCCCGAAAGCGUGGGGAGCAAACAGGAUUAGAUACCCGAGUA